AUCAGAAAUGUGGUUCUCUUACCUCCGUCAGAAUCAUUCCUAUAAACAGCUAAAGAAAAGGCAAACGCACAUUAGCACAAACAAAUAAUAUUUAAACAACACCGCAUUCCACUGCUAACGACGGUUGGUGUUUAUGUCUGGCGUUAAACGAAAGAUAGUCGUUAAUCAGAGGCAAAUAUUCGCUGGCAGGCUACCACUUCGUCAAGAGAAAUUUCAAGAGUAAAUACCUGACGAGUGUAGAUGAUUCGCCGAGUGAACCGAAUUCAAGACCCGCGACAUAAACGGACACUUCGGAGCAUACUUCAUAAACAGAGAGCUCUUGGCACGAAGCUUUGUCAUCGAUUGACGGGCAAGAAAGGGACAGCAAAGUCGACUCAUGUUCAAUAAUAUAUUUCUCUUCUAUCUUUUGAGAAGGAACGCAAUUGUUCUGUGAACUUCAGAUUUGAAUGUUUGAUCUUCCUGGUACGAGAAGGUUUUGUCAUAUGACCUUAAUUGACCAUAGGACGAAGAAAUAACAUACUGUAAUUUUAAUAUCAUAAAUCUGCAUGCAUAAAUUUGAAAUAAUUAAGUUAAAUAUUCAAUUGUUAAAAUUUUCAAACCCACGCUUGUGUCCACGUAUCCAUCACUGACCUGUGAGUGUAUCUAAGUGUCGCGGGGCGCGGGUAAAAAGUCGCGUGUCGCGGUUAAAAUGUCUCGCGUAAAGUCGCGGGUGGGAAAAACACUUUUUUAGCUACUUUUAGCUACUAAGUUCUUCAUUCCCAUUAAAAGAGUUGUACCAAGUAAAUCUUGAAUGGUUAAUGAUGCUUGAAAUGAAAAGCUAACUAUGUUUUAGAUAAUGAUUAGUGAAUAACUUAUGUAUAUUAAUAUUAUAUUUGGAUACAUAAAACAAAGACAUAUUGCCUAUGACAUACUUGGGUGCAAUGCCUAUGCAUUUCGUUUAGUCUUACAAUCAUUAAAAACAGAGCUGCCCGGGUCUUCCACGUGCGUGUCCGCCAUCCGCGUCCGUUUUCUCCAUCCGCCAUCCGUGUCCGCCGUCCGCGUCCGCCGUCCGCGUCCGUGUCCGCCAUCCGCGCACACUUUUUAUCUACACCCGUAAAAGUUGUGUUAAGGCACAUAUUCUCCCACAUUCUUCCGUCAUUAAAAGAAUUAACUCAAGUGUAUGUAAUUAUAAAUGCAUGACUAUUUUCGAGAGAUACUUAUAUGUAAUUAUAACAAUAUUUUUUAUAGUUCCUAGUUCUUUUCCACUUUUGUAAAUUAACUACAUUUGAAAAUGCGUUAAAACUUUAUGAUAUAAAAUUUUUUUAUUAUUUUUUUAUUA
This is a long non-coding RNA of Xenia sp. Carnegie-2017, 1318 nucleotides long. RefSeq lists it as uncharacterized. The transcript has 2 exons. NCBI's taxonomy places the organism in Eukaryota, Metazoa, Cnidaria, Anthozoa, Malacalcyonacea, Xeniidae. The record is from RefSeq and is a predicted model, not a curated record.